Molecule: ribosomal RNA, 406 nt
Filed under: uncultured bacterium
Lineage: Bacteria
Description: partial 16S ribosomal RNA
Rfam family: Bacterial small subunit ribosomal RNA
Source: RNAcentral
AUUGAACGCUGGCGGCAGGCCUAACACAUGCAAGUCGAACGAGUGGCGGACGGGUGAGUAAUGUCUGGGAGACUGCCUGAUGGAGUGGGAUAACUACUGGAAACGGUAGCUAAUACCGCAUAACAUCAGAUGUGCCCCGAUGGGAUUCGAUAGUGGGUGGGGUAAGGGCUCACCAAGGCUACGAUCCCUAGCUGGUCUGAGAGGAUGAACAGCCACACUGGAGCUGAGACACGGGCCAGACUCAUACGGUAGGCAGCAGUGGGGAAUAUUGCACAAUGGGCGCAAGCCUGAUGCAGCCAUGCCGCGUGUAUGAAGAAGGCCUUCGGGUUGUAAAGUACUGUCAGCGGGGAGGCGUUACCCGCAGAAUAAGCACCGGCUAACUCCGUGCCAGCAGCCGCGGUAAUAC